RNAcentral lists this ribosomal RNA (286 nucleotides) under uncultured bacterium. Its description in RNAcentral is "partial 16S ribosomal RNA". It matches the Rfam family "Bacterial small subunit ribosomal RNA", at positions 355 to 635 of the family's 1533-position model. The record is from RNAcentral.
UGGGGAAUAUUGCACAAUGGGCGCAAGCCUGAUGCAGCCAUGCCGCGUGUGUGAAGAAGGCCUUCGGGUUGUAAAGCACUUUCAGCGAGGAGGAAGGGUUCAGUGUUAAUAGCACUGUUCAUUGACGUUACUCGCAGAAGAAGCACCGGCUAACUCCGUGCCAGCAGCCGCGGUAAUACGGAGGGUGCAAGCGUUAAUCGGAAUUACUGGGCGUAAAGCGCACGCAGGCGGUUUGUUAAGUCAGAUGUGAAAUCCCCGCGCUUAACGUGGAACUGCAUUGAAACUG